AACAGAAGAAGGCAAUGGAAAUUCAGUAAAAGAAUUCAAAAUAGUAACCAAACAAAUGCCAUGGAGGAACAAUGAUAAUAUCACAGACUGUGGAGUGUAUGCCCUGAAACACAUGGAAUCAUACGAAGGGCAAGAUGACUGGAAAAUAGGAGUAAACAACAAACCUUUGCAGCGUGAUGAAAUUGCAAAACUGAGGAUGGAAUUCUGUGGGAAAAUCGUGCUGAGCGAAGAAAACACGUGCAGGGAAGAGGUAGUAGAUGCCGCAAAAGAGAUGAACGCUUAAAUUGCAAACUAAUAUGACAACUUAGUUUGACCAUGAUUGUAUAUCAUAUGCUUAAUGUCAUUAUGAAACGAGAAUAUUGUAUGAAUGUUAUUAGGCAGGAGAGCAGGGAGGUAUGUACAGGCAGGAGGGGGGCAAGUGUGCAGGGAGGUAUGUGCAGGCAGGAGGGCAAUUGUGUGCCGGCAAGAUGGAGUCUAUAAUUGUAAUAAUAACUAUAUUUCAUAACAUAGACUUAACUAUGUUAUGUCCGGUUCAGGGACAAUGAUCUCUCAAUGUCCGGUUCUUAUCACUACAAUAAGUACAAUGAAGUUAUCACUAAAAAGGCUAUUUUUUUCA
This is a long non-coding RNA of Chenopodium quinoa (quinoa), 616 nucleotides long. RefSeq lists it as uncharacterized. The record is from RefSeq and is a predicted model, not a curated record. Lineage: Eukaryota; Viridiplantae; Streptophyta; Magnoliopsida; Caryophyllales; Amaranthaceae. The transcript is spliced from 2 exons.